CCUACGGGGGGCUGCAGUGGGGAAUAUUGGACAAUGGGGGCAACCCUGAUCCAGCCAUGCCGCGUGUGUGAAGAAGGCCCUCGGGUUGUAAAGCACUUUCAGUGAGGAAGAACGCCUGGUGGUUAAUACCCAUCAGGAAAGACAUCACUCACAGAAGAAGCACCGGCUAACUCCGUGCCAGCAGCCGCGGUAAUACGGAGGGUGCUAGCGUUAAUCGGAAUUACUGGGCGUAAAGCGCGCGUAGGUGGCUUGAUAAGCCGGUUGUGAAAGCCCCGGGCUCAACCUGGGAACGGCAUCCGGAACUGUCAAGCUAGAGUGCAGGAGAGGAAGGUAGAAUUCCCGGUGUAGCGGUGAAAUGCGUAGAGAUCGGGAGGAAUACCAGUGGCGAAGGCGGCCUUCUGGACUGACACUGACACUGAGGUGCGAAAGCGUGGGUAGCAAACAGGAUUAGAUACCCGAGUAGUC
Molecule: ribosomal RNA, 465 nt
Filed under: Vreelandella stevensii
Lineage: Bacteria; Pseudomonadati; Pseudomonadota; Gammaproteobacteria; Oceanospirillales; Halomonadaceae
Description: partial 16S ribosomal RNA
Rfam family: Bacterial small subunit ribosomal RNA
Source: RNAcentral